Molecule: ribosomal RNA, 258 nt
Filed under: uncultured bacterium
Lineage: Bacteria
Description: partial small subunit ribosomal RNA
Rfam family: Bacterial small subunit ribosomal RNA
Source: RNAcentral
AGGAUGAACGCUAGCGGCAGGCCUAAUACAUGCAAGUCGAGGGGUAUGGAGAGCUUGCUUUCCAGAGACCGGCGCACGGGUGCGUAACGCGUAUGCAACCUACCUCAAUCUGGGGGAUAGCCCGAAGAAAUUCGGAUUAACACCGCAUAAAAUCACAGCACGGCAUUGUGCAAUGAUCAAAUAUUUAUAGGAUUGGGAUGGGCAUGCGUGCCAUUAGCUAGUUGGCGGGGUAAUGGCCCACCAAGGCUACGAUGGCUA